AUGAACGCUGGCGGCAGGCUUAACACAUGCAAGUCGAACGGUAACAUGAAGAAGCUUGCUUCUUUGAUGACGAGUGGCGGACGGGUGAGUAAUGCUUGGGAAUCUAGCUUAUGGAGGGGGAUAACUACGGGAAACUGUAGCUAAUACCGCGUAGUAUCGAGAGAUGAAAGUGUGGGACCUUCGGGCCACAUGCCAUAGGAUGAGCCCAAGUGGGAUUAGGUAGUUGGUGAGGUAAAGGCUCACCAAGCCGACGACCUCUAGCUGGUCUGAGAGGAUGACCAGCCACACUGGGACUGAGACACGGCCCAGACUCCUACGGGAGGCAGCAGUGGGGAAUAUUGCGCAAUGGGGGCAACCCUGACGCAGCCAUGCCGCGUGAAUGAAGAAGGCCUUCGGGUUGUAAAGUUCUUUCGGUAGCGAGGAAGGCAUUUAGUUUAAUAGACUAGGUGAUUGAC
RNAcentral lists this ribosomal RNA (455 nucleotides) under Terrahaemophilus aromaticivorans. RNAcentral describes it as "bacterial SSU rRNA". It matches the Rfam family "Bacterial small subunit ribosomal RNA", at positions 29 to 473 of the family's 1533-position model. Lineage: Bacteria; Pseudomonadati; Pseudomonadota; Gammaproteobacteria; Pasteurellales; Pasteurellaceae. The record is from RNAcentral.